RNAcentral lists this ribosomal RNA (253 nucleotides) under uncultured bacterium. RNAcentral's name for it is "partial 16S ribosomal RNA". It matches the Rfam family "Bacterial small subunit ribosomal RNA", at positions 524 to 776 of the family's 1533-position model. The record is from RNAcentral.
UACAGAGGUCUCGAGCGUUGUUCGGAUUCAUUGGGCGUAAAGGGCGCGUAGGCUGCGGGGUAAGUCAGGUGUGAAAUCUCAGAGCUCAACUCUGAAAUUGCACUUGAUACUGCUCUGCUAGAGGACUGGAGAGGAGAUUGGAAUUCACGGUGUAGCAGUGAAAUGCGUAGAUAUCGUAAGGAAGACCAGUGGCGAAGGCGGGUCUCUGGACAGUUCCUGACGCUGAGGCACGAAGGUCAGGGGAGCAAACGGG